CAGUAGGCAAUGCCUUUCAACUUGCUCUACAAUUCAUCAGUUUUCAUUUAAACUCUAAAGCGUGUGGACUAAAAAUUGAAAAAAAAUUGAAAAAAAAAAUCUUAAAAAAGACGUAUAUAUUACUUGAAGAAAUGGCGUUCUUUAACUGGGAUAAGGAGGAAGAACCGCAAGUGAUUACCAGCUUCUUCGAUAGUUCGAUACUAACUUAUUUGUUGUAUUUGAUAUAUGCUGUGUUUUUUUUGUAUGCCUGGAAUCGAGUAGUGCGCUUUUUUGACUACGUAUUUUCUGGAUGUUGUCCUUGGGGCUUUAUUUCUUUUAUUUUGUGUUUUCUAAAGCCCAUGGACUUUCUCGAAAUUCUAAUUAAUUUCAUCUGGUUCCUGGCUGAUAUUUUGCUGAGAAUUUGGAAUAAUAUACUGGCCCAGGGCUAAGAAUGCACCAGAGGAGACAAUUGUUUGAUGUUUUCAAAGAUCAAUGUUUUAUUCAAGUUUUCAUCAAGUUUUCAAAGAUGAAUAUUGUAUUCAGUUUAUCUUUUUUGGAUUUAUGUGUAAUUUUAAAUUAUUAAAUAUGUAUGCAAGUUAA
This is a long non-coding RNA of Drosophila bipectinata, 579 nucleotides long. RefSeq lists it as uncharacterized. The record is from RefSeq and is a predicted model, not a curated record. Lineage: Eukaryota; Metazoa; Arthropoda; Insecta; Diptera; Drosophilidae.